This 926-nucleotide long non-coding RNA is filed under the name Ursus maritimus (polar bear). Its description in RNAcentral is "lncRNA (ENSUMAG00000018715.1)". Lineage: Eukaryota; Metazoa; Chordata; Mammalia; Carnivora; Ursidae. The record is from RNAcentral.
AUGAAUGGGUCAGCUCCCUGGGCUCAGUGCCUUCCCGGCAGAGGCGUGAUUACCGCUGAAGAACGGAGCCUGGGUCCGGGAGCAGAUGUGGCUUCUGACAGAAGCGGCCAGGUGUGCGGCCUUGCACACCCACUCUUGCGUCAGCUCACCCCCAGCUUAUCUGGAAGGCAGCAGAGGGCUACUCAGGGCUUAAGGAAGCUACAGCAGGCACGUGUGGAACUGACCUUAGCUGCUAGAAGCAGGCUCUCGGGAAGGAAAACCAGGGCCGGAUGCCUCUCACCUCUCUAUCUGCAUCUGUCUGGUGUAAACGGCUCUCUCUCCCUCCCUAUCCUUCUUGCUCUCUCCUGUGCGCCCCAGUGCAAUCAAUAUUCUGCUCCAUCGCAGCUUCGGGACCUGACAGGCUGUGUUUGCCAUUCCUGUGCUGACUCAUCCAUGGAGCCCAUCACGGGCCAAGUGCUCCCUCUGGCCAGAAAUGCUCCUCAGUCAGAUCUCCAACUCUGGCUUAUCUUUGCUCCAAUCGGUUUCCUUUUUCCUUUUCCCCAGAAUGUCAUUUCGGUUUCCUGUGCCCUGCCAGCCUGGGAGUCCCAGAGAGGCAUCAACACAGGCUCGGGGGGCUGCAGGACACUGAUGGAAGUUGGGCGCGGGAGAGCGUUGUCCCUCAAUGUCAGCUGUCAGGUGAUAGAGAUUUCCAGCUGGCGGAACCUCAGAGAUGACUGCUUUCAACGUUCCCCAGCCACAGAGGUGGAGCCAGAGGGAUGCCAAGACGGGCUACGUCUCCAAGGCUACACGUAGCCGACUGGCUGCUCUUGUCUCCUCACAUGGACUGGAACAUUCCCACCAUGAGACCCUUGCUCACAAUAAUAGGUACUAUAUAUAUAUAUAUAUAUAUAUAUACUAUGUAUAUAUAACAUACUAACACAUAAUAA